GCCUCCCUCCCCUUUCUCCCUCCCUUUUCAGUUUUAUUCCCGUCAAGCUUUGGCAUCAUUAUCCUCAUCACUAAAUCCUACAGAGUACAGGGCGGAAAACCGUGCACAC
Molecule: non-coding RNA, 109 nt
Organism: Pteropus alecto (black flying fox)
Lineage: Eukaryota; Metazoa; Chordata; Mammalia; Chiroptera; Pteropodidae
Source: Rfam